CCCUUAGAUGUUCUGGGCAGCACGCGCGCUACAAUGGUCUUCGCAAACGGAUGCAUUCUCGAAGGAGAAUGCCAAUCUUGGAAUCUAUGCCUUGGUCGGGACAGUUGCUUGCAAUUUUUCGACUCGAACCAGGAAUUCCUUGUAAUCGUGAUUCAUCACAUCACGAUGAAUACGUCCCUGCCCUUUGUACACACCGCGCGUCGCUCCUACCGAUCGAAGAGUUAGGUGAAUUGUUUUGAUCGAUAAGAUUUGACUAUGGUCAACUCUCGUUGUGAAAUUCUGUGAAUCUGACUGUUUAGAGGAAGGAAAAGUCGUAACA
RNAcentral lists this ribosomal RNA (319 nucleotides) under uncultured eukaryote. Its description in RNAcentral is "partial 18S ribosomal RNA". It matches the Rfam family "Eukaryotic small subunit ribosomal RNA", at positions 1470 to 1796 of the family's 1831-position model. The record is from RNAcentral.